GUGCGUGCGCGGGGCAUGCUGGGAGUGGUUGUGUACCGUCGCCAACAGCAGGUGAAGCCUAGCAGAGGACGCGUCCAGCCGAUCUGGUGAAGCAAUUCCUGCAGGCGUUGGUUCCCCCCUUUGCCCUGGUAAAGGCAGGCUUUUAUGCGAGAGGAUUUGAAUUUGUUGAAAUGAGCAGUCGUAAAUCAAAGAGUAACAGCUUAAUUCACGCAGAGUGCCUUUCACAGGUACAAAGAAUUUUACGUGAAAGAUUUUGUCAUCAGAGUCCACAUAGUAACCUAUUUGGAGUGCAAGUACAAUACAAACACUUAAGUGAGCUGCUAAAAAGGACCGCUCUCCAUGGAGAGAGUAACUCUGUCCUCAUUAUCGGACCCCGAGGAUCAGGAAAAACUAUGUUAAUAAAUCAUGCUUUGAAAGAACUCAUGGAAAUAGAAGAAGUGAGUGAAAACGUAUUACAAGUUCACUUAAAUGGACUGCUGCAGAUCAAUGACAAAAUCGCCCUAAAGGAAAUCACGAGGCAGUUAAAUCUGGAAAAUGUAGUUGGAGAUAAAGUUUUUGGAAGCUUUGCUGAAAACCUUUCAUUUCUUCUGGAAGCUUUAAAAAAAGGUGACCGAACCAACAGUUGCCCAGUGAUCUUCAUAUUAGAUGAAUUUGAUCUUUUUGCUCAUCAUAAAAACCAAACACUUCUCUAUAAUCUUUUUGACAUUUCUCAGUCUGCACAGACCCCAAUAGCAGUUAUUGGCCUUACAUGUAGAUUGGAUAUUCUGGAACUCUUAGAAAAAAGAGUGAAGUCAAGAUUUUCUCACCGGCAGAUACACUUAAUGAAUUCAUUUGGUUUUCCACAGUAUGUUAAAAUAUUUAAAGAACAAUUAUCUCUACCUGCAGAAUUUCCAGACAAGCUUUUUGCUGAGAAGUGGAAUGAAAAUGUUCAGUAUCUCUCAGAAGAUAGAAGUGUGCAAGAAGUACUACAGAGGCAUUUCAAUAUCAGCAAAAACCUGCGGUCAUUACACAUGCUAUUGAUGCUUACUUUAAAUCGAGUAACAGCAUCACACCCAUUUAUGACUGCCAUAGAUCUAAUGGAAGCAAGUCAACUGUGUAGCAUGGACUCAAAAGCAAAUAUUGUACAUGCCUUUAACUUAAUCCUUUUGAAGGUACUAUCACUCCCAUUUAAAGUGAAAAAAAAAAUUGACGCUCUGCCUCUUUUGCCACAUUGGAAAUCCAGGUCUAUCAGUCUUGGAAAUCUGUCUUAUAAUAGCAAUGAAACAUUUAAAUGACAUCUAUGAGGAAGAGCCAUUUAAUUUUCAAAUGGUCUAUAAUGAGUUUCAGAAGUUUGUUCAAAGGAAAGCACAUUCUGUUUAUAAUUUUGAAAAACCUGUUGUCAUGAAGGCUUUUGAACACUUGCAACAAUUAGAAUUAAUAAAGCCCAUGGAAAGAACUUCAGGAAAUUCACAGAGAGAGUACCAGCUGAUGAAACUGCUUUUGGAUAAUACUCAAAUUAUGAAUGCUCUGCAGAAAUAUCCCAACUGUCCUACAGAUGUGAGGCAGUGGGCAACAUCCUCACUGAGCUGGUUAUGAAUAUAACCAGUGACUUCAACUUUGGCAUUUCAUUCAUACUUCUGUAGAGAACGAAAAACUAUUGUCCUUUAACAUGAUAAUACUAAACAUUCUAUAAAUAUUUUUGUAUUUAUGUGAGACUUGCAUGUCUACUGUCUUGGCUGUGUCUUGCCUUUUAAUCAUGAACGGUUACAUGAUUUAUAAUUUCAGUAAUUGAGAUUACUUUGUAAGUAGCAGUUCAGAAGAAUAAAAUAUGACUGUUUUAGGGACUAGACCAUGUGCUUUUUUAACACUUAUAUAACACUUAUAUAUAUAAUGGUCUAUUUGAAGAGCUCACUUCAACCUAACAGCUAGAUGUCUUUACAAACCUUAAACCAAAGGAGUGAAAAAACAAUGGUAACAACUGAAGUAUAAGUAACCUUUGGUACAGUAGGUUUGCUGCAGGGUUUUUUCCUGUCCACAUGCAAAUUUUGGAUUCUAUCCCAGACUCAGGUUUUCUAGUGCAGGAGACUAACCAGCUUAGUCAGAUGAUGGUUCACAUGGAAGGAAAAGGUCAAGGAGUUUGAAGAUUUUUCUUCUAGAUACCUCAAAAUGUGGUACUCAUACCAUCCACAUCAGAAUCCCUUGUAGGAUUUUCUAAAAUUACAGAUUGUUGAGCUUACCAUAGGUCAAAAGGAUUGGAAUUUGCCUUCUUAACAAGUAUAGUCAUGGCACCACAUAACAUUUUGGUCCGUGACAUUGUAUAUAUGAGGGUGGUCUCAUAAGAUUAUACCAUAUUUUUACUGUACCUUUUCUAUGUUUGAAUAUACAAAUGUUUACCAGUGUGUUACAGUUGCCUACAGUAUGAUUACAGUAACAUUCUGUACAGCGUUGUAGCCUAAGAAUAAUAGGCUAGGCCGUAUGUAUAGCCUAGGUGUGUAACAGGCUAUAUACCAUCAGGGUUUGUGUAAGUACACUCUGUGAUGUUCAUCCAAUGAUGAAAUCACCCAGAGACACAUUUCUCAGAACAUAGCCCCAUCAUGAAGUGACGUGACUGUACCAGAGAUUUCUGGAAAAGCACUCCCAAAAGUAAUGAGACAUGUAUGACAAUGUUAACCGAACCUAUAUCAAAAAGUAAAUCCCCGAGGAAUGUGGACAUGUCAAUCAAAGCAUUGUCUUUUAAGUAAGUUCCAAGAUCCAUGAAUUAACAGAGACAUAUAUUUAAAAUGAAAUUUAAUAAGCACUUAAGUGACUUCAUUUGUUCAAGAAUAUUUGAUUGCCUGCCUACUGUGUGCAUGGGAGGUUUACAAAAGACAGACUGUCUCUAUGCUUGUGCAGCUUACAAUCCAUUUAACUGUUAGAGGCCCUGUGAGAUGUAGGUACUGUUAUUUAUAGAUUAGAAAACUAACACAGCAGUAGCAAUGCUGGGAAUAGCCAGCAGUCUUGGAAUUCAACUCAGUUGAACACCAAAGCCAGUGCUAUUAAAACCUGAAUUUCAACAGUGGAUUCCUUACCAAAUAGUUUUUAAAGUAUGCUCUAAGGCACAAUGUUUUAAUGAAAUCUUGGAUACAAAGUGGAAUAAAAAAUUUCUGUGCAUAAAAGUAGCUCUUCAGUAGUUACUACGUAUUCUUUUGCAUACACAGCCUUUCCUUCCCUGUAAAAAGUUAAACCUUGUAAGUAUUCAGAUCCCUGUCAUUUACUUUUCAGCAGUCUCAUUCAGGCUAAUGCUUGCAUACUGAUUCUAUGCCAUAGUCUACACAUUUUUAGGGGAUAUUUCACCAAAAUACUUAACCUGGUAACAUCACUAUUAUAUACUAGAAGGAAGAAUUUUACACUUAGGCUCUAACUGACCCUUUUAAAAAUUUUCUAAACUAUUUGAGGAAAGUAUUAUUUGUCUUAAAGGGUAACAGCCUCAUGAAAUGACUUGAGGAUUGCAAUUUCUUAUUAGCUUAAGAUGUUACUUAAAAGCUGACAGCCCUCAUCUGUCUCACUGGCUACGUAAGAGCUACAGAAGAUCCAUCAAUAACCAAGUACACAGAUUUUAAGACUAAGUACCAAUUGAGGUAAACAUGAAACAGUUAAAAGCAAAUUCAAAAAAUACAUUAGGAAAAGUUACACCAAUGAAGUAUAUGCCUAUUAUAUUCCCAAAGCAUUUUUGUAGGGAGGAGCAGUGUUGAUUGUUGGCCUUUCCAUAUUCCUUCAUACAAAAAAGCUAGUCUAUUUGCCAGAGUUUUGAGCUAACUUCAUCUCUUAAAUUGCUUCAAUUGUCAUCAAUAAAAACAAGUCUGAAAAACCCUAGUUUAAAAAGCGGUUCAAGAAUAAUGUAAACUUAUACAUAUAGCUUCAAGAUAUUUUCAUUUACUAGAGAAGGAAAAAUAGAACCUGAAAAGCAGGUGAAGGAGGAAUAUUUCAGUGUGUUUUUUACAUCUGUGUUCCCUCCAAGUGGCCCACCAGAAACAGAAUUCUUGUUAAAAUGACUGAUUCUCAUGCACGUGAAAGGCUCUGGGGAAUGAAUACCUGUUUGGUCCAAACUUACUGUAUCAUAACGCUGUAUAUGUUGAAAACGGAAUACCUAUUCAUGUCCUAACGAAUCACUGUUUUGCAGAAAACACUGUAAGAAACACUUCAGUAUUUUCUGUAGAGUUUCCAUGCAUAUUUCACCACGGUUCGCAUUCUCAGCCUCAUUUGGUUUAGAAAGCAAUUCAGUUUCUUUCAAACCACCAUAAUCUAAGUGCUGCCCCGUCCUUCACCUUUACCCUAGAAAAUCUGAGAAUCCAUUCGUGUGUACUGUGUGACACAAUGCCAACAAGCCUCUGCUUCCUAAUACUGGCAGGACCAACACACAUACUUGAGUGGGAAUAUAAUCUGUUUAGACAGGGAAAUACCAUAAUUAACAAAUCUCCCUUCACUUACCACUAUCCUCAUUCUUGCAGUUGUCAAGGUGUAAGCCUCACUAUAAGUUACAAAACUACCACUCCCCUCUUUAAGAACACAUAGCUAAAGAAAAACUGCAUAUGCAAAUCAUACCAUAUUCAUUUUUUUUUUAUUUAACUUGGGGAUGGAAUGGGCAUAGCAUACAUUUUAUUUGUACAAUAUUUAACAAUCACUUAUCCAAGGUGGGGUUUUACGGGGAUUUUAAGCUUUCUGUUAAAUACUUGCAGAAAAAAUAGCAAGUACGAUUUGACAGUAGUACAAUAACCUGUGCCCAAAACACAAGAGAUACAGAGUAAAGCGAAAAUAACUGCUUACCAAUAUUCUGAGAGGUAACAAAUGGGAUAUGGGUUGAGACUGCAUAAAAAACGUACUGCUGGUUGAGUAUCUGAGGUAAAUGAUGUUCAAUCAAGAUGCUACUUGUAUCAUUUUGCCCACAAAUUGAUAAUUUUAUGCAUUAUCAUACCAAAUGUUCCUAAAAAGUAAUCUUUCAAAAAAGUAAAAAAGAUAAACUGGAAA
This is an RNA transcript of Rhinopithecus roxellana (golden snub-nosed monkey), 4983 nucleotides long. It is a transcript of the gene named origin recognition complex subunit 4, with no coding region annotated. The transcript is spliced from 15 exons. Lineage: Eukaryota; Metazoa; Chordata; Mammalia; Primates; Cercopithecidae. The record is from RefSeq and is a predicted model, not a curated record.